Molecule: ribosomal RNA, 57 nt
Filed under: uncultured eukaryote
Lineage: Eukaryota
Description: partial small subunit ribosomal RNA
Rfam family: Eukaryotic small subunit ribosomal RNA
Source: RNAcentral
CUUGAACCGGGCAAAAGUCGUAACAAGGUUUCUGUAGGUGAACCUGCAGAAGGAUCA